CUUUGGAACUAAGUGCUAGAAUCAGUUCGUUUUCAAUUGUUCAUUCAUUGACAACAUGAAAAUUUACGCUUUUAUUGGCUUUGUCCUAGCUUUGCUAGCCGUUGCUGCAGCUAAUCCUAAUCCUCACCCAGUGCCUGGUGGUGGCGGCGGC
Molecule: long non-coding RNA, 151 nt
Organism: Teleopsis dalmanni
Lineage: Eukaryota; Metazoa; Arthropoda; Insecta; Diptera; Diopsidae
Exons: 2
Source: RefSeq, a predicted model, not a curated record